AGUCUGCAACUCGACUACAUGAAGCUGGAAUCGCUAGUAAUCGCGAAUCAGAAUGUCGCGGUGAAUACGUUCCCGGGUCUUGUACACACCGCCCGUCACACCAUGGGAGUCAGUAACGCCCGAAGUCAGUGACCCAACCGAACAGGAGGGAGCUGCCGAAGGUGGGACCGAUAACUGGGGUGAAGUCGUAACAAGGUAUC
This 200-nucleotide ribosomal RNA is filed under the name uncultured bacterium. RNAcentral describes it as "partial 16S ribosomal RNA". It matches the Rfam family "Bacterial small subunit ribosomal RNA", at positions 1302 to 1500 of the family's 1533-position model. The record is from RNAcentral.